CCGGAAGCCCCGCCAAAACAUCGGGACGGUGUAUUUGCAGCUGCUGGGGACAUCGGUGGAUGCCAACCCGAGCGUGGUGUUAGUGACGGACUCGCAGCGCUUCAUUUUUAAUGUUGGCGAGG
Molecule: non-coding RNA, 122 nt
Filed under: Lotharella globosa
Lineage: Eukaryota; Cercozoa; Chlorarachniophyceae
Source: RNAcentral